GUCUAGAGCUAUGCCACCCUGAACAUGGCCAAUCUCGUCUAAUCUCGGAAGCUAAUCAGGGUUGGGCCUGGUUAGCAUUUGGAUGGGAGACCACCUAGGAAUACCAGGUGCUGUAGAUG
This 119-nucleotide ribosomal RNA is filed under the name Pteropus alecto (black flying fox). The record is from RNAcentral. Lineage: Eukaryota; Metazoa; Chordata; Mammalia; Chiroptera; Pteropodidae.